This 4476-nucleotide long non-coding RNA is filed under the name Piliocolobus tephrosceles (Ugandan red Colobus). RNAcentral's name for it is "lncRNA (ENSPTEG00000010533.1)". Lineage: Eukaryota; Metazoa; Chordata; Mammalia; Primates; Cercopithecidae. The record is from RNAcentral.
AAAUUAAUUUGUUUAUUAAAGAAGCAAAAUUAUUAUUUUAUAAUAAAAAUAUUAAUAUAAGUGACAUUAACAUUUAUGUUACGACUAUAAUAGAAGAAAAAAAAUAUGUUGGUAAAUUAAAAAAACUAAGUUUUCGGACUUUACCCAUGAAUAAUUUAACUUUCAAUGAAUGUGUUAAUCACAAUAUAAAAGAUAUAUUUUCAGACAUCGUUAUAAAUAUAAAAUAUAAAUAUAAAAAAAAAGAUAAAGAAGAAAUACAACUGGGUCGAGCCAUUAUACCUUUAUUUUUACUUUUAAAUACAUAUAAAUAUAAAAUGAAAAAAAUAAAAAAUAAAAUAAGAUAUUAUAUUAAAUGUUUUCUAUGGUUACAUAUUUUCCCCAGUAAUAACAAAUUAUUUAAUUAUAAAUUUUUUAAACCGAUUGAAGGUUUUGAACAUUAUGGUAUGUCAAAUCCCAUAUAUACAUUAGGUUUUAUAAGUGUUAAAAUUAAUAUUAUUUUUAAACAUAACCCAAUAUUUUUAAUUUUUCUUAGUAAUAUAAGAAAACCAAUAUUUUAUUAUAAACUACCAUCACAAUUUGAACCUUUAUAUUGUCAGUAUCAAAGUGAUAAUUUUUUUUAUUAUGCUACACAUUUACCUCUAUGGAUGUAUAAAUUUUUUUAUUUAUUUAACAUCAACAGAAUUGAGCCUAUUUUAUUAAAUAAUUAUGAUUACUUAUUUAUUAUUUUAUUUUGGUUAUUUUUUUAUCGACUAAUUGUAUUAUCACCUUUUUUUCAAAUUUAUGUCCAUUUAUUUUUCUGCAUCUUUUUUAUAUCUUUGUCGUAUAAAUUUGGCAUAUACCCACAAAAGAGGUUCAUAAAAUAUACUUUUAGGCCUUACCAAAUGAAAAAAAAUAUAAAAAUAAAUUAUGAUCAAAUCGCCCCAUUGGGGUCAAAACGACCGAAUGUAACAACAGUUACUACCAACAAAAAUAAUCAGCAUGAAUGCGUAAAUACUAAUAAUAAAAAAUUGUCAUUUACUUACGAUUUACAGUCUCAUUAUAAUAAUAGUAGAGAAAUACCAGUUGACAAACUGAAUGAAAAAGAAGAACAUAAACAAGGACACCCAUCAGAACAUAAGCAAGGGCACCCAUCAGAACAUAAGCAAGGGCACCCAUCAGAACAUAAGCAAGGGCACCCAUCAGAACAUAAGCAAGGGCACACAUCAGAACAUAAACAAAAAGAAGAACCUGCGUUAGUUUCAUCCCAAACAAAUUUUAAUGUUAGUAUAAAUGGUCAAAUGACUCAUACAACACAUUUAAAAAAUAAACAAGAAGAAAGCUUAUCAAAUGCAACACCAAAUAACGCAAACACAAAAGUGUGCACAAAUAACAGUACCAAAAAAAAUAUGUUUUCAAGUAAUGGUUUAAACAUUUAUGAUAAAUAUAAAUCAUUUUUUUCUAAUAGUAUUAACAACGUUAAAGACUCUGUGUGUGAUAAGAAAACACAAAUGAACACGGAAAAUGAUUAUAGUAACAGCCGUAAUAGUAAUAGUACAAUCAUCAAUAUUAAUCAUAACAAUUCCGUUGCAGUUAAUAAUAAAAAAAUUUUAGAUAAUCAACUUUCAACAAAUACUAAUGGACAACUAUGCCUUGAUAAGGAUCGCUUUGACAAAGAGAAGCACAUCGAGAGAGAAAACGAAGAUAAUAAAAAUUUAUUAAAUGAAAAAAAGAACGAGAAAACGGAAACCAAUUGCAAACGUAGUAUUAGUAGUAAUAGUAAUAGUAGUAGUAAUAGUAAUAAUAGUAGUAGUAGUAGUAGUAGUAGUAGUAAUAAUAGUAGUAAUAGUAAAGGUGGUAAAGACGACCUUAGGAAGGAUGAAAAGGGUGAGGAUGACCAUAUUAAAGACAACCAUAACCCAAAAAAUUUAACAUGCAAUACCAAUCACAAAUUUAAUAAUGUAACAAAAUUUGCAAACAAAGUAAAAAACAUUAUGUUCGAUGCUAAAGAAAAAACAAAACUAGAUAAUUUAGAUUGGAAUAAAAACGUCUUGGGUUUUAUAAACUUAUUUAAUAUGAAAGAUAAAAAUAAAGAAAAAGAUGAAGACACAAAUGGAAGUGCUUAUUAUGAACAAUUAGAACAAGAAUAUACGACAGAUAUUAAUAAAAACCAGUUAAACUUACAACAGGAAGUUAUACAUAGCGAUGUACACAAUGACUUGUUAAAGGAUACAUCGAGCAACGUAACAAUAAAUACAUUGGACGUGUCAAAUAACAAAUAUAAUGAAUCAAAUACAAACUGUGAUAAAAAUAAUAUAAUUAAAAAAUAUAGCAAAGAAAAAUAUAAAAACAUUGUAAUUAUGAAUUCUAAUUAUAAUAAUAUAGAUGAAAACUGUUUUGACUAUAACAUGAAUGUACAUGAUAAAAACGGCAUUGGCAAUAGCAAUUUUAUGCACAAUACAAAUAGGUUAUGUGACACAUACAAUUCAGAAAUUAAAGACGCAUGUGAUAAGAGCGAUGUAUGUGCUGGCACCAACAUCCUCGAUGGUAAUCACACUGCAAUUCCUAACGCUAUUAAAGAAUAUUCACACUCGAACAAUUUUUUAGAAACUAAAACAGUAAAGAAAAAAUUAAAUAUGGAAUCAUUUAAAAAUAAUUUAUUUUCUUUUAGUGAAACUAAAAAUAAUGUAUUAGAUGCAAAAAAAGCAACAAUUUUAAUGCCAAUAGUUAAAUCUCCUUUUCAUAAUUUUCAUUUAUGUAUUGACACAAUACAAAGUGAAAAGGUAUCUAUAUUUUCCAAUACAGUUAAAUUACCAAAUAUGUAUACACUACUUAAUAGGUUUAUGUUAUGUUUAAACAUGAUUCAAACAUUAGUUGGUACUUUUACCAUGAUAUAUGAAAAAGUAAAUUAUGCUUUUAAUUGGGAUUUUGAUUUCUACACACUUAUAAAUUUAAUAAUUCUUUUUUUAAUAUGUUAUAUUUUAUCUUUUUUAUUUUAUUUAUUAUCCCUAGUUCCACUAGUUUUUUAUCGUUUUAUUUUAUUUUUUGUUGUAUCAUAUCUAAUUAUUAAAAGUUAUGAAUACACAGAAGGUUAUACCCAUAAUUUGAGUUUGAUAAAAGAAAAGCGAGCUCAAGCAGGUCACAAGAUGGCUCUAAAGUGCCAUAAUAAUAGAAGUGAUCAUACCACCAGUAGUAGUAGUAGUAGCAGUAGUAGUAGUAGCAGUAGUAGUAGUAGUAGUACUAGUAGUAUAAGUCGGAGCAGUAGUAGUAGUAGUCAUCGUAAACACGUUUAUCAUGUUAUCAACCCCGAAUGUUAUAAAAAAAACGUAAGACACAAUAUUAUAUACAAAUAUAAUAAACUACUGGUGAUGAAACUAAAAGAUAUUAUAAAAAACAAACAAAAACGAAGUAAGAGCUAUAAAUAUUUUCAAUCAUUUGUUAAAAAGAUUUUGAAAUAUUAUAUUUGUAUUUAUAAUUUAAUUAUUCAAAUACCUUUAUACAUAUCCUUUGUUUUCUUUUUUUUGAAAAAUUGGAUUUUACGUUUAUUAAUACUGAAAGAUAUAGAACACAUGGAAAUAGCAAGGUUACAAGCAUUUAAAAAUUUAUAUUUUUUUAUACAUAAUCGUAUGAUGAAAAAGAAGCAGGCAUAUGACAAUAAAAAUAAAAGUGCGUCUGAUACUUAUACAGAUCAUACUAAUAACAAAAACAAGAACAAAGAUAUUAUUAUUAAUGGUCAUACGGCUAAUUAUACCAAUGGUAAAAGAAACAGCAAAGGCAGCACUAAUAAUGAUAAUGACAGCGAUUAUCAUAAAAACCGUAAAAACGAUAAUAUUAACAUUAACAAUAGCAUUAUAAAUAAGAAUAACAAUAAUAAUAAUAACAAUAGUAAUAAUAAUAAUAAUAAUAAUAAUAAUAAUAAUAAUAAUAGUAACAUGAUUGAACAAAACACUCCCUUUGAUCUUAACAACAAUAAAAUUGACGCCACAAACAAAAGAAAAUACAAAGGAUUAAGUGAUAACAAAUAUACGUUUACAAAAUACAAAAAUAAAAACAAAUUCACUACUCUUAUGUAUGACCAUUAUAAAACUGCCGGGACUCAUAUUUAUUCUAGUGAUAAAGAAGACUUAGAUACAAUGGAUUCAUAUUUAGAUGAACAAACAGAUUCUGAAAAUUUAUCAUUAAGUCAAAUGACAGAUAAUGGAAAUAUGAAUGUCAGUGUUGAUAUUUUUUUACAUUACUAUUUUAAAAAAAAAAAAUACGACUUGUUUAAUAACUUUAUAAACCUUAAUAGAAACCAUAUGUAUAUGUACAAAAAUAUAAACUUACUUAGCAACAGUGAAGAACAAGCAAUUAAUAGUCUCAAUUAUGAUGACAAUUUUAAUAUUGAAAAUAAUUAUUCAAGUUCUUACGAUACUAAUAAAAGCGAGAUAACAUAAAAGGUUAAAAAAAAUAUAGAUGAGUUCAGUUCAGUUGCGCCGGGCUGGACUUGUAUAUACUAUG